AGGUGGAAUGGUAAAUUAACAGCAUUUAAGGUGGAAUGGUAAAUUAGCUGCAUUUGUGAUUGGUUUACUGAAGGCAAUAAAGAGCAUAUAUGAAAGUUACAUAGCAGCUACUUGCACACUGUGCUGUGGGUUAUGCAGGUGCUAUCUUAAAUGUUAGCUGCAUUUAAGGUGGAAUGGUAAAUUAGCUGCAUUUAAGGUAGCACGCUAAAUUGGAAUAACAGUUUACUUAAGGCAAUGAAGUUGUAUAUAUAAAAGAUAAAUAGCAGCUACUUACACAUAGAGCCGUGGGUUGUGCAUUAAUGGUAAAUUAGCUCAAUUUAAGGUGGAAUGGUAAAUAAGCUGCAUUUAAGGUGGAACACUAAAUUCGAACAUAUCUUCAUGUGAUUGGUUUACUGAAUGAUUAAAGCGUAUAUACGAAAAUUAGCUUUAUUAAGGUGGAAUGGUAAAUUAUCAACAUUUAAAUAGGAUUGGUAAAUUAGUGACAUUUAAAGUGAUAUGGUAAAUAAGCUGCAUUUAAGGUGGAAUGGUUAAUUAGCUGCAUUUAAGGUGGAAUGGUAAAUUUGCACUAAUUGAAUUAGUUACCGCAUUUAAGUACAAUUGUAUUAUAAGAUUAUUCCAGCCAUGGACACUGUACAUUUAUAGUUGUAGGUUUAACAU
Astyanax mexicanus (Mexican tetra) is the source of this 657-nucleotide long non-coding RNA. RefSeq lists it as uncharacterized. Lineage: Eukaryota; Metazoa; Chordata; Actinopteri; Characiformes; Acestrorhamphidae. The transcript has 2 exons. The record is from RefSeq and is a predicted model, not a curated record.